GGGCCCGCACAAGCGGUGGAGCAUGUGGUUUAAUUCGACGCAACGCGAAGAACCUUACCAGCGUUUGACAUGAGAAGUGCCGGUUACAGAAUGGUAACCUUCAGUUCGGCUGGCUUCUACACAGGUGCUGCAUGGCUGUCGUCAGCUCGUGUCGUGAGAUGUUGGGUUAAGUCCCGCAACGAGCGCAACCCUUAUCGUUAGUUGCCAUCGGUUUUAGCCGGGCACUCUAAGGAAACUGCCUGUGAUAAGCAGGAGGAAGGCGGGGAUGACGUCAAGUCCUCAUGGCCCUUACGGGCUGGGCUACACACGUGCUACAAUGGCGGUGACAGUGGGAAGCGGAAGGGGCGACCUGGAGCCAAUCCCCAAAAGCCGUCUCAGUUCGGAUUGCACUCUGCAACUCGAGUGCAUGAAGGUGGAAUC
Molecule: ribosomal RNA, 420 nt
Filed under: uncultured bacterium
Lineage: Bacteria
Description: bacterial SSU rRNA
Rfam family: Bacterial small subunit ribosomal RNA
Source: RNAcentral